AGCAGCCGCGGUAAUUCCAGCUCCAAUAGCGUAUAUUAAAGUUGUUGCAGUUAAAAAGCUCGUAGUUGAAUUUCGGGGUUAGUACGCUGGUCAUGCCUUCGGUAUGUACUGGUGUUACCGAUUCCUACCUUCUGAAGAACCGUCAUGUCAUUAGUUUGGUGUGGCGGGGAAUCAGGACUGUUACUUUGAAAAAAUUAGAGUGUUUAAAGCAGGCUCGCGCUUGAAUACAUUAGCAUGGAAUAAUGAAAUAGGACGUUCGAUCCUAUUUUGUUGGUUUCUAGGAUUGACGUAAUGAUUAAUAGGGAUAGUUGGGGGCAUUAGUAUUCAAUUGUCAGAGGUGAAAUUCUUGGAUUUAUUGAAGACUAACUACUGCGAAAGCAUUUGCCAAGGAUGUUUUCAUUAAUCAAGAACGAAAGUUAGGGGAUCGAAGACGAUCAGAUACCGUCGUAGUCUUAACCAUAAACUAUGCCGACUAGGGAUCGGAUGAUGUUAAUUUUUAAUGACUCAUUCGGCGCCUUAC
RNAcentral lists this ribosomal RNA (520 nucleotides) under uncultured Glomus. RNAcentral describes it as "SSU rRNA". It matches the Rfam family "Eukaryotic small subunit ribosomal RNA", at positions 569 to 1091 of the family's 1831-position model. The record is from RNAcentral. Lineage: Eukaryota; Fungi; Glomeromycota; Glomeromycetes; Glomerales; Glomeraceae.